RNAcentral lists this ribosomal RNA (253 nucleotides) under uncultured bacterium. RNAcentral describes it as "partial 16S ribosomal RNA". It matches the Rfam family "Bacterial small subunit ribosomal RNA", at positions 524 to 776 of the family's 1533-position model. The record is from RNAcentral.
UACGGAGGGUGCAAGCGUUAUCCGGAAUCACUGGGUUUAAAGGGUGCGUAGGCGGCGUAAUAAGUCAGAGGUGAAAGCUCACCGCUUAACGGUGGAACUGCCUUUGAUACUGUUAUGCUAGAAUUUGGUUGAGGUUAGCGGAAUGAGUCAUGUAGCGGUGAAAUGCAUAGAUAUGACUUAGAACACCAAUUGCGAAGGCAGCUGGCUAGACCAACAUUGACGCUGAGGCACGAAAGCGUGGGGAGCGAACAGG